UUAAGCGACUAAGCGUACACGGUGGAUGCCCUGGCAGUCAGAGGCGAUGAAGGACGUGCUAAUCUGCGAUAAGCGUCGGUAAGGUGAUAUGAACCGUUAUAACCGGCGAUUUCCGAAUGGGGAAACCCAGUGUGUUUCGACACACUAUCAUUAACUGAAUCCAUAGGUUAAUGAGGCGAACCGGGGGAACUGAAACAUCUAAGUACCCCGAGGAAAAGAAAUCAACCGAGAUUCCCCCAGUAGCGGCGAGCGAACGGGGAGCAGCCCAGAGCCUGAAUCAGUGUGUGUGUUAGUGGAAGCGUCUGGAAAGGCGCGCGAUACAGGGUGACAGCCCCGUACACAAAAAUGCACAUGCUGUGAGCUCGAUGAGUAGGGCGGGACACGUGGUAUCCUGUCUGAAUAUGGGGGGACCAUCCUCCAAGGCUAAAUACUCCUGACUGACCGAUAGUGAACCAGUACCGUGAGGGAAAGGCGAAAAGAACCCCGGCGAGGGGAGUGAAAAAGAACCUGAAACCGUGUACGUACAAGCAGUGGGAGCACGCUUAGGCGUGUGACUGCGUACCUUUUGUAUAAUGGGUCAGCGACUUAUAUUCUGUAGCAAGGUUAACCGAAUAGGGGAGCCGAAGGGAAACCGAGUCUUAACUGGGCGUUAAGUUGCAGGGUAUAGACCCGAAACCCGGUGAUCUAGCCAUGGGCAGGUUGAAGGUUGGGUAACACUAACUGGAGGACCGAACCGACUAAUGUUGAAAAAUUAGCGGAUGACUUGUGGCUGGGGGUGAAAGGCCAAUCAAACCGGGAGAUAGCUGGUUCUCCCCGAAAGCUAUUUAGGUAGCGCCUCGUGAAUUCAUCUCCGGGGGUAGAGCACUGUUUCGGCAAGGGGGUCAUCCCGACUUACCAACCCGAUGCAAACUGCGAAUACCGGAGAAUGUUAUCACGGGAGACACACGGCGGGUGCUAACGUCCGUCGUGAAGAGGGAAACAACCCAGACCGCCAGCUAAGGUCCCAAAGUCAUGGUUAAGUGGGAAACGAUGUGGGAAGGCCCAGACAGCCAGGAUGUUGGCUUAGAAGCAGCCAUCAUUUAAAGAAAGCGUAAUAGCUCACUGGUCGAGUCGGCCUGCGCGGAAGAUGUAACGGGGCUAAACCAUGCACCGAAGCUGCGGCAGCGACGCUGAUGCGUUGUUGGGUAGGGGAGCGUUCUGUAAGCCUGCGAAGGUGUGCUGUGAGGCAUGCUGGAGGUAUCAGAAGUGCGAAUGCUGACAUAAGUAACGAUAAAGCGGGUGAAAAGCCCGCUCGCCGGAAGACCAAGGGUUCCUGUCCAACGUUAAUCGGGGCAGGGUGAGUCGACCCCUAAGGCGAGGCCGAAAGGCGUAGUCGAUGGGAAACAGGUUAAUAUUCCUGUACUUGGUGUUACUGCGAAGGGGGGACGGAGAAGGCUAUGUUGGCCGGGCGACGGUUGUCCCGGUUUAAGCGUGUAGGCUGGUUUUCCAGGCAAAUCCGGAAAAUCAAGGCUGAGGCGUGAUGACGAGGCACUACGGUGCUGAAGCAACAAAUGCCCUGCUUCCAGGAAAAGCCUCUAAGCAUCAGGUAACAUCAAAUCGUACCCCAAACCGACACAGGUGGUCAGGUAGAGAAUACCAAGGCGCUUGAGAGAACUCGGGUGAAGGAACUAGGCAAAAUGGUGCCGUAACUUCGGGAGAAGGCACGCUGAUAUGUAGGUGAAGUCCCUCGCGGAUGGAGCUGAAAUCAGUCGAAGAUACCAGCUGGCUGCAACUGUUUAUUAAAAACACAGCACUGUGCAAACACGAAAGUGGACGUAUACGGUGUGACGCCUGCCCGGUGCCGGAAGGUUAAUUGAUGGGGUUAGCGCAAGCGAAGCUCUUGAUCGAAGCCCCGGUAAACGGCGGCCGUAACUAUAACGGUCCUAAGGUAGCGAAAUUCCUUGUCGGGUAAGUUCCGACCUGCACGAAUGGCGUAAUGAUGGCCAGGCUGUCUCCACCCGAGACUCAGUGAAAUUGAACUCGCUGUGAAGAUGCAGUGUACCCGCGGCAAGACGGAAAGACCCCGUGAACCUUUACUAUAGCUUGACACUGAACAUUGAGCCUUGAUGUGUAGGAUAGGUGGGAGGCUUUGAAGUGUGGACGCCAGUCUGCAUGGAGCCGACCUUGAAAUACCACCCUUUAAUGUUUGAUGUUCUAACGU
RNAcentral lists this ribosomal RNA (2200 nucleotides) under Escherichia coli. Its description in RNAcentral is "bacterial LSU rRNA". It matches the Rfam family "Bacterial large subunit ribosomal RNA", at positions 1 to 2228 of the family's 2925-position model. The record is from RNAcentral. Lineage: Bacteria; Pseudomonadati; Pseudomonadota; Gammaproteobacteria; Enterobacterales; Enterobacteriaceae.